This 96-nucleotide transfer RNA is filed under the name Desulfoscipio gibsoniae DSM 7213. RNAcentral's name for it is "tRNA-Cys (GCA) (tRNA-Cys-GCA-2-1)". Lineage: Bacteria; Bacillati; Bacillota; Clostridia; Eubacteriales; Desulfallaceae. The record is from RNAcentral.
GGGGAGAAUGGGGAUGGUCCCCCCGCGGGCCGCAAACCCGUUGGCCUGCCCGUAACCAGGGUGGGAGUCCGGUUCGAUUCCGACUUCUCCCCUCCA